This 462-nucleotide ribosomal RNA is filed under the name uncultured bacterium. RNAcentral describes it as "partial 16S ribosomal RNA". It matches the Rfam family "Bacterial small subunit ribosomal RNA", at positions 28 to 507 of the family's 1533-position model. The record is from RNAcentral.
GACGAACGCUGGCGGCGUGCUUAACACAUGCAAGUCGAGCGGUAAGGCCUUUCGGGGUACACGAGCGGCGAAAGGGUGAGUAACACGUGGGUGAUCUGCCCUGCACUUCGGGAUAAGCCUGGGAAACUGGGUCUAAUACCGGAUAUGACCUCCUAUCGCACGGUGGGUGGUGGAAAGAUUUAUCGGUGCAGGAUGGGCCCGCGGCCUAUCAGCUUGUUGGUGGGGUAAUGGCCUACCAAGGCGACGACGGGUAGCCGACCUGAGAGGGUAACCGGCCACACUGGGACUGAGACACGGCCCAGACUCCUACGGGAGGCAGCAGUGGGGAAUAUUGCACAAUGGGCGAAAGCCUGAUGCAGCGACGCCGCGUGAGGGAUGACGGCCUUCGGGUUGUAAACCUCUUUCAGCAGGGACGAAGCGCAAGUGACGGUACCUGCAGAAGAAGCACCGGCUAACUACGUG